This 72-nucleotide transfer RNA is filed under the name Camelus bactrianus (Bactrian camel). It matches the Rfam family "tRNA". From Rfam's summary of the family: Transfer RNA (tRNA) molecules are approximately 80 nucleotides in length. The record is from Rfam by way of RNAcentral. Lineage: Eukaryota; Metazoa; Chordata; Mammalia; Artiodactyla; Camelidae. RNAcentral also lists the same sequence under 2 other names.
GAGGGUAUAGCUCAGUGGUAGAGCACAUGCUUAGCAUGCAGGAGGUCCUGGGUUCAGUCCCCAGUACUUCCU